GAGCGUUAGUCAUAGGGCUACUGAAACACAAGGUGACUACUUGAAGGUGGCUAGACGAGAGCAUACUGCCACCACUCUUUAUUUGGAGGCCUGUAACCUGUCUUGAGUGUGUUGCAGGAAGACUCAGUUACAGUGUUCCCUGAAUAUGUAGCUUUCCAUUACAAUAGUAUGCAAGCCAAGAUGAAACCACCUCUGUUUGGGUUUCAGCAGCUGUCUGCCUACGGAAGGCUCCAGAGUCCCUGACGCAUAUUUAUAUCUCCACUUCACUGAAGUCACAAGGAACAAACACACACCUGCCAUUUCCCAAAUCUCAUAAAACAUAUAAAUGGAUGAGACCAAAGAGAGGCA
Molecule: long non-coding RNA, 348 nt
Filed under: Homo sapiens (human)
Lineage: Eukaryota; Metazoa; Chordata; Mammalia; Primates; Hominidae
Description: non-protein coding ALKBH3-AS1:4
Source: RNAcentral